AACGAACGCUGGCGGCGCGCCUAAUACAUGCAAGUCGAGCGAGAAGACGUAGCAAUACGUUUGUAAAGCGGCGAACGGGUGAGGAACACAUGGGUAACCUACCCUAGAGUGGGGAAUAACUAGCCGAAAGGUUAGCUAAUACCGCGUACGCUCCUUGGACUUCGGUACAGGGAGGAAAGCGAUACCGUGGGUAUCGCGCUCUUGGAUGGGCUCAUGUCCUAUCAGCUUGUUGGUGAGGAACGGCUCACCAAGGCUUCGACGGGUAGCUGGUCUGAGAGGACGAUCAGCCACACUGGCACUGCGACACGGGCCAGACUCCUACGGGAGGCAGCAGUAAGGAAUAUUGCGCAAUGGGCGAAAGCCUGACGCAGCGACGCCGCGGUGGGGGAAUGAAGGUCUUCGGAUUGUAAACCCCUUUCGGGAGGGAAGAUGGACGAGCAAUCGUUCGGACGGUACCUCCAGAAGCAGCC
This 470-nucleotide ribosomal RNA is filed under the name uncultured bacterium. RNAcentral describes it as "bacterial SSU rRNA". It matches the Rfam family "Bacterial small subunit ribosomal RNA", at positions 29 to 492 of the family's 1533-position model. The record is from RNAcentral.